UUGCCCUACGGGGGGCAGCAGUGGGGAAUAUUGCACAAUGGGGGAAACCCUGAUGCAGCGACGCCGCGUGAGCGAUGAAGUAUUUCGGUAUGUAAAGCUCUAUCAGCAGGGAAGAAAAUGACGGUACCUGACUAAGAAGCCCCGGCUAACUACGUGCCAGCAGCCGCGGUAAUACGUAGGGGGCAAGCGUUAUCCGGAUUUACUGGGUGUAAAGGGAGCGUAGACGGCAAUGCAAGCCAGAUGUGAAAGCACGGGGCUCAACACCGGGACUGCAUUGGGAACUGUGUAGC
Molecule: ribosomal RNA, 290 nt
Filed under: uncultured bacterium
Lineage: Bacteria
Description: partial 16S ribosomal RNA
Rfam family: Bacterial small subunit ribosomal RNA
Source: RNAcentral